This 497-nucleotide ribosomal RNA is filed under the name uncultured bacterium. RNAcentral's name for it is "partial 16S ribosomal RNA". It matches the Rfam family "Bacterial small subunit ribosomal RNA", at positions 28 to 507 of the family's 1533-position model. The record is from RNAcentral.
GAUGAACGCUGGCGGCGUGCCUAAUACAUGCAAGUCGAGCGAACAGACGCGGAGCUUGCUUCUCUGACGUUAGCGGCGGACGGGUGAGUAACACGUGGAUAACCUACCUAUAAGACUGGGAUAACUUCGGGAAACCGGAGCUAAUACCGGAUAAUAUCUUGAACCGCAUUGUUCCAUAGUGAAAGACGGUUUUGCUGUCACUUAUAAGUGGAUCCGCGGCUGAUUAGCUAGUUGGUAAGUUAACGGCUUACUAAGGCUACGAUGCGUAUUCGACCUGAGAGGGUGAUCAGCCACACUGGAACGUAGACACGGUCCAGGCUCCUGCGGGAGGGAACAGAAUGGAAUCUUCCGCAAUGGGCGAAAACCUGCUGCAGCAACGCCACGUGAAUAAUGAAGGUGUUCGGAUCGUAAAACGCUGUUAUUAGGGGAGAAUAAAUGUGUAGAUGACUGUGAACGUCUUGACGGUACCUAAUCAUAAAGCCACGGCUAACUACGUG